This 497-nucleotide ribosomal RNA is filed under the name uncultured bacterium. Its description in RNAcentral is "partial 16S ribosomal RNA". It matches the Rfam family "Bacterial small subunit ribosomal RNA", at positions 28 to 507 of the family's 1533-position model. The record is from RNAcentral.
GAUGAACGCUGGCGGCGUGCCUAAUACAUGCAAGUCGAGCGAACGGACGAGAAGCUUGCUUUUCUGAUGUUAGCGGCGGACGGGUGAGUAACACGUGGAUAACCUACCUAUAAGACUGGGAUAACUUCGGGAAACCGGAGCUAAUACCGGAUAAUAUUUUGAACCGCAUGGUUCAAAAGUGAAAGACGGUCUUGCUGUCACUUAUAGAUGUAUCCGCGCUGCAUUAGCUAGUUGGUAAGGUAACGGCUUACCAAGGCAACGAUGCAUAGCCGACCUGAGAGGGUGAUCGGCCACCCUGGAACUGAGACACGGUCCAGACUCCUACGGGAGGCAGCAGUAGGGAAUCUUCCGCAAUGGGCGAAAGCCUGACGGAGCAACGCCGCGUGAGUGAUGAAGGUCUUCGGAUCGUAAAACUCUGUUAUUAGGGAAGAACAUAUGUGUAAGUAACUGUGCACAUCUUGACGGUACCUAAUCAGAAAGCCACGGCUAACUACGUG